This 73-nucleotide transfer RNA is filed under the name Bos taurus (domestic cattle). It matches the Rfam family "tRNA". Rfam says of the family: Transfer RNA (tRNA) molecules are approximately 80 nucleotides in length. Their secondary structure includes four short double-helical elements and three loops (D, anti-codon, and T loops). Further hydrogen bonds mediate the characteristic L-shaped molecular structure. tRNAs have two regions of fundamental functional importance: the anti-codon, which is responsible for specific mRNA codon recognition, and the 3' end, to which the tRNAs corresponding amino acid is attached (by aminoacyl-tRNA synthetases). tRNAs cope with the degeneracy of the genetic code in two manners: having more than one tRNA (with a specific anti-codon) for a particular amino acid; and 'wobble' base-pairing, i.e. permitting non-standard base-pairing at the 3rd anti-codon position. RNAcentral also lists the same sequence under 1 other name. Lineage: Eukaryota; Metazoa; Chordata; Mammalia; Artiodactyla; Bovidae. The record is from Rfam by way of RNAcentral.
UCCCUGGUGGUCCAGUGGCUAAGAUUCCGCAAUCCCAAUUCAGGGGGCCCAGGUUCAAUCCCUGGUCAGGGAA